Molecule: long non-coding RNA, 2239 nt
Organism: Myotis daubentonii (Daubenton's bat)
Lineage: Eukaryota; Metazoa; Chordata; Mammalia; Chiroptera; Vespertilionidae
Exons: 4
Source: RefSeq, a predicted model, not a curated record
ACUUUGUUUUGAUUCAGUAAGUGGUAGACAAACAAGAUGCAGGCCUGAACAUGACCGAGAGCUGGCCUUGGCAUCGGACGAGUAAUCACGUUAGAAUCCCUUCCUUUCUCCCCCUUUCCUGGCCCCGCGGCCGGCAGGGCUGACAGCCACCUCCGGCCCCACAGACAGGUCCCUGCAAGGACCACGACUUCACCUCCACGAAGAACCAGGCCUCCUCAGGUUAACCACUCCCAAAAUGCAAAGCGGGGUCUGGAGGGGUCCAGGGACUGGGCCUUGGCCACUCUGAGGAGCUGGUCUGAGCAGACUUGGCAGGGACGCAGCGGGCACAGUUGGCUGUCACAAGGAGCCGAGGAACAGUCUGUGCCAUUUGCACAGAGUCACAUUUCUGACUUGAUUGAAAGAAGAAUCUUGAACAAUAUAUAGAUUUUUCAGUGACUCAAGGCUUGCUCUUGCCAACUCCUAGCAUAAAGCAUGUUUUUACAGCUGGGAGGAUGAGUCUCUGAAAGAUGGCACUUACCAUGGAAACGCUGACACAGCCUCUCAUUCCCUUCACGGUGAUUACAAUCCUCAUUUCAAUUUGUUUUUCUUUAUUUCGAGCUGCAGUUAUGUGCAAGCCCAGGAGUCUCUCUGGCUGUGACAGGAAACGAAAUGCUGCCCUCUGUCGGAAGUAAGAGGGAAAUGCUUUUGACUUCCUGCUGCAAAGUGGUGCAAAUCUGGGUUUGGAGAACCACGGGCACCCAGGAAAUCAGCCUUUCUUACUAACAAUCUUACCAGGAAAGAAAUUCCUGCAGGGACUUACCUUGUUUCCUAGGGAAAGUGAGGCCCUGGAGGGAAAGAGGCAUAUUUUAUGCCCCUGGGUUUCAGGGGCAGGUGCCCUCUGUUGAUUCAAGGCUUGCAGUCUCAGCUGAACCAACAGCUCAGCAGUCCUCCUAACCAAACGCCCAAGAAGGUCUUUCUAUUCCCAGAUGUCUUCACUGAUAAGAAAAUGGGUAAUGGAUCCGGCCACACUCCUCAAUCUGCCGGUGAGACCGCAGCGGGCUGAGAGCUGACGUGUUCUCAUAUUUCCCCACCAAAAUAAGGCUUCGUUCAACUGCACAGAUCACAUCAGAAUGUGGCCGAAUGCAUUUCCCCCAUUCUGCACACAGCCAGUGUGUCCCACAGAUAACCAGUGGGUAGAGACACUCCUCACAACAGGAGAUCAGAGACUGAAGAAAGCUGGUAAUGUUGCUAGUAGCUCUAGGACAUUUUUAAAGGUCAUCAUACGUACCCGUAUGUUAAAGGCUCUGAGAAGUCCUGCACGGGAGAAAUCUAAUGAACUUUGUUUUACUCAUUGUUUCUCAUUUCCUCACCGGACCAUUUCUUCGUAGAACAUCUGCUAUCAUCCUGUAACACACUAGCAUUGAUCACUCGCGGAUGGUACAUCAUCCCUCUCUCCUUUGCAAGAGGCAGGUAGGUGAAUCGCCUUGUCCACCUGAUUCCCAGCGUCCAGAACUCUGCCCGGCACACAUAGGCGCUCGAUCGGCAUCUCUUCUUGAAUGGCCACCUGCUAUUUCAGCAGGGAGGGGAUAUCAGAGCAUCGGGAGUUCAGAAACCCGAGUCCACACGAAGACAAUGGCAACAAGCAGAAGGUGUGAACGCUCCCAAGCAGGCCCCGGUUUGGAAAACGUGAUAAAGCGGUUAUUGUGUGUCCGAACUUUUCACACAAGAAUUGGAGGAGAUUUAACACCAGGAAUAAUAAACAGAGGGAGGCCGGCUAAUGCAGAGCAGAUGGGCCCGCAGGGUAGUGCUGAGCAUUUCAACGUCUUUCCCCUCGGACCCUUGGACCCAAGAUGACGGAAUGCUGGAUUCGUUAGUUAAAGAUAAAGUUCGUGCAAUGGGGAAAACAAUAAAUAUGGCUGGUUUGAUUUCUGGGGCAGUGAGGGGACUAAAGAUUUUAAGACCCUUCUAUGUGGCAGGCAUUCAUUGCUUUAAUCCUGGCCACAGAUCCAUAUUACAGAUGAGAACACCAAGGCUCUGAAAGUGUAAAUCGCUUCCUGAAGGGCCCUCAGCCAGCAUGAAGUGGAUCAGUGCCAGGUCUGUCUCAUUACGUAUGCAUGCCACGGUUCUGCAAACUGGGGCAAAAGGUGAGCAGGGAACGUGGGUCAUGGUCAGCCCGGCUGGUGUGGCUCAGUGGUUCAUUGACAACCUAUGAAUCAGGAGGUCACCAGUUCGAUUCCUGGUCAGGGCGCAUGCCCAGGUA